Molecule: long non-coding RNA, 661 nt
Filed under: Citrus x clementina
Lineage: Eukaryota; Viridiplantae; Streptophyta; Magnoliopsida; Sapindales; Rutaceae
Description: Citrus clementina (C. clementina) long non-coding RNA (CCLE_LNC003352)
Source: RNAcentral
AUUUUGUUAACUUUCUAACAGAAGUUAACGGAAUAGUGGACGGUAGAAGUGAUUUUGUCAACUUAAGAUAUACAAGUGAUACACUUGAAAAAUGUUCACACACGUUUGAUACGGGUGUCAUUAACAGUAUAUAGCUGAUAAUUUCCCUAAAAUCGAAGAAAAAAGUGAAAAUAAGGGUUGUUUCGUUUAAAUUUGUUUGAAGGAUAAGAUUGGAAAUCAACAUUUAAUUAAGGGUAAAAUAGAGAAUCAUGCUUACUGAUGGAGUGGAAAUUGAGUUUCUUGCUCAUGAUAGAGGAAAGUGAAUUCCUUGAAUAAUGGAAACUGGAGAUAGAACAGAAUUAGAUUUCUAAUGAAUUUUGCCAACUCAACGAAGGAAAGCCAGGCGGAAGUGGAAAUCCUCUCCUCUCCCGCCUCCUCGACCCCAACCGAACAUGUCCUUAGGUGAUGUUUGGUUGGGAGGAGAAAAUAGGGAAGAGAAAAAUAAUUUAAUUUCUACUUUUAUUUCUAUUGUUUGAUUGCACAAAUAUAUAAGAAUUUAAUUUCCAUUAGAAUUUAAUAUCCCUUAUAAUGUAGAAUUUGAAUUCCACACCAAAGAGUAAAGAAUUUAAAUUGCUCUUAUAUUGAAAACCCAAACUUCUAAAUUUGCCCUCCAAUAUUUUAA